CAAUAAUAAUAAUAAUGAUGAUGAUGAUGAUGAUGAUAAUGGAUGGCAGUGCUGCCAAUAUAUCAUCAUCGUCAUCAUCGUUGUCAUCAUCAUCAUCAUCAUCAUCAUCAUCA
This 113-nucleotide microRNA precursor is filed under the name Bigelowiella natans CCMP2755. RNAcentral's name for it is "miRNA EPrBNAG00000013228". The record is from RNAcentral. Lineage: Eukaryota; Cercozoa; Chlorarachniophyceae.